This 449-nucleotide long non-coding RNA is filed under the name Bos grunniens (domestic yak). RNAcentral's name for it is "lncRNA (ENSBGRG00000018329.1)". The record is from RNAcentral. Lineage: Eukaryota; Metazoa; Chordata; Mammalia; Artiodactyla; Bovidae.
AAGAUGUACAGAAAAGGACUCCCUCAGUAUCUCUCUGAGCUAGAAGGACACAUGAAAGAAUAAAAACAAACAAAUAGACCUAACUCUAAAUCCAUGUUAUACAGUGUUCUGCAAAACUAUUAGCACUGGAUUCAGUUUAUUUACAGGGAAGUUGCAUAAAGCAGAGGAUAACUUCAAGAGAUUCAUAUGUAAGAAUUUUUUAGUUUUGGGACUGUGUUAUAGAAGAAGUUAUGAAGAAAACAGUGAAUGAGUUUGGCAUAUGAAGAGGACACUCUUGUAAAUGAAGCAUUAUCCUCAGAGAUUUUCUUGGCUGAAAAUGCAUCAUCAAUGAUCAGUUCAAGAGGAAGCCUUAAUAGAAGGAUGCAUGAAAUCUUGGUGGUUGAGAUUUGGCAAGAUCAAUGUGAUAGCCAAGGUAAGAGUAUUGUUUAUCAAAUUGAGUCAUAUUUAGA